RNAcentral lists this ribosomal RNA (301 nucleotides) under uncultured bacterium. RNAcentral's name for it is "partial 16S ribosomal RNA". It matches the Rfam family "Bacterial small subunit ribosomal RNA", at positions 509 to 807 of the family's 1533-position model. The record is from RNAcentral.
CAGCAGCCACGGUAAUACGUAGGGUGCAAGCGUUAAUCGGAAUUACUGGGCGUAAAGCGUGCGCAGGCGGUUUGUUAAGACAGAUGUGAAAUCCCCGGGCUUAACCUGGGAACUGCAUUUGUGACUGGCGAGCUAGAGUGUGGCAGAGGGGGGUAGAAUUCCACGUGUAGCAGUGAAAUGCGUAGAGAUGUGGAGGAAUACCGAUGGCGAAGGCAGCCCCCUGGGCCAAUACUGACGCUCGUGCACGAAAGCGUGGGGAGCAAACAGGAUUAGAUACCCCGGUAGUCCCUGUCUCUUAUAC